Molecule: unclassified non-coding RNA, 409 nt
Filed under: soil metagenome
Description: partial contains 5.8S ribosomal RNA, internal transcribed spacer 2, and large subunit ribosomal RNA
Rfam family: 5.8S ribosomal RNA (bases 1-121)
Source: RNAcentral
GAUGAAGAACGUAGCGAAAUGCGAUAGGUAGUGUGAAUUGCAGAUGUAACGUGAAUCAUCGAAUCUUUGAACGCAAAUUGCACUCUCUGGUAUUCCGGGGAGUAUGCCUGUUUGAGGGUCGCCAAAUCAAAAUCGAAAUUCAUUUGCUUUUUUGUAAAUGUUUAUCGGAUUUGAGCCGUCUUUUUUUAUUUUAAUUAAAGUGGCUUAAAAUGUAUUUUUUUGGUAUCGAAAUACGUUAUUUUACGAUCAAAUUGAUUAAAAAAACAAACGUUUUCGAAUGCCGCCUUUUUAAUGUAAUACGUUUGACUGUGAUGGUUAAUCAUAGUUUCAUUCGUAUACGAUUUUUUAAUUUUUGACCUCAAAUCAGGUAAGAACACCCGCUGAACUUAAGCAUAUCAAUAAGCGGAGG